GCUUGUCUCAAAGAUUAAGCCAUGCAUGUCUAAGUAUAAACAAAUCUAUACUGUGAAACUGCGAAUGGCUCAUUAUAUCAGUUAUAGUUUCUUUGAUGGUUCUUACUACUUGGAUAACCGUAGUAAUUCUAGAGCUAAUACAUGCAUGAAACCCCGACUUUUGAAGGGGUGUAUUUAUUAGAUUGAAACCAAUGCGGGUUCCCCGGUAUUUGGUGAUUCAUAAUAACUUUCGGAUCGACUUCGGUCGAUGCAUCAUUCAAGUUUCUGCCCUAUCAGCUUUGGAUGGUAGGGUAUUGGCCUACCAUGGCUUUAACGGGUAACGGAGAAUUAGGGUUCGAUUCCGGAGAGGGAGCCUGAGAAAUGGCUACCACAUCCAAGGAAGGCAGCAGG
This 390-nucleotide ribosomal RNA is filed under the name uncultured Chrysophyceae. Its description in RNAcentral is "partial small subunit ribosomal RNA". It matches the Rfam family "Eukaryotic small subunit ribosomal RNA", at positions 30 to 432 of the family's 1831-position model. Lineage: Eukaryota; Chrysophyceae. The record is from RNAcentral.